Molecule: long non-coding RNA, 429 nt
Organism: Melitaea cinxia (Glanville fritillary)
Lineage: Eukaryota; Metazoa; Arthropoda; Insecta; Lepidoptera; Nymphalidae
Exons: 2
Source: RefSeq, a predicted model, not a curated record
ACAUGGCUAUGGUAUUCUUUACUGUUAUAUAAAUGGAUUACUAUGUUAGCCUCGUACAAUCACAAUGGCAGUCUUAGAGAAUGGUACGUUCUUCAUUUCCUGUAACGGAUUAUUUCCAUCGGAAAUACAAUAUUUUUUUCCAUCACUAGUCAAGAUCUUAAAGCUCGAUUGUAAAGGCUCUAUGAAUGACAUUAUGUAAAGAAUAUUGUAGUCUCCUAGCCAGAACGAAAUAUAUUCCCUUUGGAUGGAUGGAUGGAUCACGUUUUGUACCCUUAUAGACUGAUUAUUAGUUGGCUUUGCUCUCAUAAUUUGUUGUGAAGCUUUUUGGGGUGUAUAUUUUUAACGUUCAUUCAGAAUGUUUAAUAUUUUUCAGCGAGGAUCAGAACACUGUAUAAAUCUUUUUGACUACAGUAUUAAUAUUUUUAUUAU